This 335-nucleotide ribosomal RNA is filed under the name Klebsiella pneumoniae. Its description in RNAcentral is "partial 23S ribosomal RNA". It matches the Rfam family "Bacterial large subunit ribosomal RNA", at positions 1271 to 1609 of the family's 2925-position model. Lineage: Bacteria; Pseudomonadati; Pseudomonadota; Gammaproteobacteria; Enterobacterales; Enterobacteriaceae. The record is from RNAcentral.
UGCUGGAGGUAUCAGAAGUGCGAAUGCUGACAUAAGUAACGAUAAAGCGGGUGAAAAGCCCGCUCGCCGGAAGACCAAGGGUUCCUGUCCAACGUUAAUCGGGGCAGGGUGAGUCGACCCCUAAGGCGAGGCCGAAAGGCGUAGUCGAUGGGAAACAGGUUAAUAUUCCUGUACUUGGUGUUACUGCGAAGGGGGGACGGAGAAGGCUAUGUUAGCCGGGCGACGGUUGUCCCGGUUUAAGCAUGUAGGCUGAUUAUCCAGGCAAAUCCGGAUAAUCAAGGCUGAGGUGUGAUGACGAGGCACUACGGUGCUGAAGUAACAAAUGCCCUGCUUCC